Sinocyclocheilus anshuiensis is the source of this 459-nucleotide long non-coding RNA. RefSeq lists it as uncharacterized. The transcript is spliced from 3 exons. Lineage: Eukaryota; Metazoa; Chordata; Actinopteri; Cypriniformes; Cyprinidae. The record is from RefSeq and is a predicted model, not a curated record.
UAGUCCGAAAAGGAUUUGAGAAGAGGAAAACAAUACAUACUCUUUUUUAACACAACGGAACAUCAUGUAAGGAGAGGACAACAGCUGGGAUGAGUGGUUAUUCGUCAAAUAACGAUGUCAUCUUGCAAACUUGUGGAUAUCAGGAAGCAUGCGUUAAAAACAGGAACUCAUUGGUUGAGUUUUAGCGGUUGGAGAAGCGAGACAGAAGUUAUUAUUAGUUAUAGUUUAUUUGAAUAGUUUAUGCUUCUGGACUGGACCUGCAGCGAAUCUCAUAACUUAAAAGUGCAACAGGUUGGAAGAUGGUGUCGUGGAUUAUAUCUAGGGCCAUCGUUCUUGUGUUUGGAACGCUGUAUCCUGCGUACUACUCCUUUAAAGCCGUCAAAUCCAAGAAUGUCAAAGAAUAUGUGCGAUGGAUGAUGUACUGGAUUGUGUUUGCUCUUUACACAGUGGUGGAGACCA